GAAAUAAUUUUCCAGGAAAGAUACUUUUUUUUUUUUCUCUCUCAGAAGUGUUUAUGAUGAGAAUUAAAGUUGUAAAACUAAAAACUUUGUUCUCUGACAGAGCUGUAUUCGUACAGUAUUUUAGAAAAUUAUUUUCAGAUGCUUUUAUAGUGAAGCAGUAUGAUUAACAUGUCUCAUCUCUCCUUCUGUUGAAUUUUGAGGUAACAGUAAGAGUGUAAAACUUUCACUGCUUUUAUGGUUGGCUGUGCUGUAAUAGCUGUGUCAUUGAAGAGGGCAUUUCUUUUUGGUUUCUAGCUGAAAAUAUCAAACUCAAAAUUCUCUCAGAAUGCCCUAUUUGUCCUCUGCUGAUAGUGUUUUUAUGGCACAUGUUAAUAAUUCAUGGGGAAAAAAAAAUCAUGGUUAAAUUUCUACUACUAGCUGCCUAAAAGCAGUUUAUUGACCUUUCCAAAGGCUUUUCUUUCUUUCUUUUUUUUUGUUUUGUUUAUUGGCUUAUCCAUACUUCUUUUGAAUGUUGAGCUUUAGAGGUUCCUGAUGCAAAACGCAGCUUCUUGUUCAUGUAACGGUGAGUAACCUUGAAGUGCCCCAAGACAACAUUAAUUUCAGGAGGGAGAAAACGGAAGCAGCAAACUGAAUGGUGUCCCUUUCCUUGGGUGCAUGGAAUUUGCCUGAACCAGCAAGCUGAGUACUUCACAGCGGGGCAUGCUCUUCUUUCAAGAAUGUUUUGGAAUCAUUUCCAUUAUGCAGAAAUAUGUCAUCAGACAAGAUGACUGGGAACACUUUGAAGAAACGUCUUACCAAUGGCACUUUACAUCCAGAAAUAUACAAAGACUUCACAUACAUCAGUUCUUGCAAUAGAGCUGCGAAGCACCAAGAUUUUCCUAGCUGCACAUGAAGAUGGAUACACCAAGCUUCCUCUCCUUACAUGAAGCCAUUGCCAUGCGUCCCCUGCACCAAAUUUCACUUUUUGGUCACCCAUUCAGAUGUCAAAAAGACAAAUGGAAAAGACAAGCAGCUCCUUGGUUUUGACAACUGCCUCAUGCUGCUAGGCACACUGAUGCACUUUGAACCAUCUGGUGCAUGUGUGUGGCACGAUACAAGUUCUGUGGGCCUGCUCCUGAAGUUACAGCUCUGGGUCUUUUAAAGUAAUGGAAUAUUUGUGACAGUACAUGGGAGAAACAAGCACUAGGAAUCUGAUUUUCUAGUUUUUUUUUGGAGGGAGAAGUGGGGAAAGGGUGGAGAGAAAGAAGGCAUGAGGGAGGACCAGGUAGUCAUAAUCUGAAAGGUUUUCUUCCUUGAACUUUUUGCAUCCUAUGUGUGAUCUAAGGUCAUUUUUUGUUUUUCUUCUUUGUCCCAGGCUGUGCCUUAAAAAUUGAGUAGCUUAUGGGAUGCCUGUGUAGAAACAAGGCCCAUCUAAAAGCCAUAUUUUUCCCAUAGAAAACUUCUAAUUCCACUUCCACAUUAUUAUUCAGCUGUGUGACUGAACUGUAAGAAAGAACUUACUGUAAAAGAAGCAACAUUUGGUUCUGGCUGGGUCUGGAGGAGGACGAUGUCCUGAUGAGCCAUUAACAUCCAUGGUACCAGCAGAAUCUACACUAUCUGUAGAUCUGUAUUCUACAGUCUGCUCUCAGCACUGUUUUCUUUCUUAUCGUUCCUUCCAUUUCCCAUGUUACUGAAGCCUGGCUUGGAAAGGGUCCAGCCCUCCUCUGGGAAGCUGGUUUGCUGUGCCGAAGACACCAAUACAGACUGCAGGCUGGUGUCUAUUCAAGUUUUGCUUGUUCUGAAGCUUCUUCCAUCUUCAUAACACAUAGUGAUGGAUGCCAGCCAACAGGAGCCCUACUGACCAUGCUGGCUGCAAGCUUCUCAUACC
Gallus gallus (chicken) is the source of this 1867-nucleotide long non-coding RNA. The record is from Ensembl. Lineage: Eukaryota; Metazoa; Chordata; Aves; Galliformes; Phasianidae.